Long non-coding RNA from Serinus canaria (Common canary), 743 nucleotides. RefSeq lists it as uncharacterized. The transcript is spliced from 3 exons. The record is from RefSeq and is a predicted model, not a curated record. NCBI's taxonomy places the organism in Eukaryota, Metazoa, Chordata, Aves, Passeriformes, Fringillidae.
GUCUGACCCAUGGGACCUUCAGUUUUGGGAUUUUGGGCAGAUCUGACUUACAGGACCUUCAGUUUUGGGGUUUUGGACAGGUCUGUCUCAGUUUUGGGGCUCUGGGCAGGUCUGGCUCAGCUUUGGGAUUUUGGACAGGUCUGGCUCAGUUUUGGGGUUUUGGACAGGUCUGGCUCAGUUUUUGGGGUUUUGGACAGGUCUGUCUCAGUUUUGGGGUUCUGGGCAGGUCUGGCUCAGCUUUGGGGUUUUGGACAGGUCUGUCUCACUUUUUGGGGUUUUGGACAGGUCUGUCUCAGAUUUUGGGGUUUUGGACAGGUCUGUCUCAGUUUUGGGGCUCUGGGCAGGCCUGUCUCAGUUUUUGGGGUUUUGGACAGGUCUGGCUCAGUUUUUGGGGUUUUGGACAGGUCUGUCUCAGAUUUUGGGGCUCUGGGCAGGCCUGGCUCACAAAUCCUUCAGUUUUGGGGUUUUGGACAGGUCUGACUUACAGGACCUUCAGUUUUGGGAUUUUUGACAGGUCUGGCUCAGUUUGGGGUUUUGGACAGGUCUGGCUCAGUUUUUGGGGCUCUGGGCAGGUCUGGCUCAGUUUUUGGGGCCCUGGGCAGCGCUGUCUCCUGGGACAUCCCCACAUCCCAUUCCAAGGAGCCUCCACGACAGCACAAGGAGAACCCACCCAGAAGGACACCGAGCUCGGGCACAUCCCAGCUCCGAAUUCCCAGCUCCACCCCUCCCCAAUUCCCAUUCCC